CCCCUAGAUGUUCUGGGCCGCACGCGCGCUACACUGAACAGUUCAACAAGUCUUAACCUUGGCCGAUAGGUCUGGGUAAUCUUUGAACGCUGUUCGUGAUUGGGAUAGACCUUUGCAAUUAUGGGUCUUCAACGAGGAAUUCCUAGUAAACGCAAGUCAUCAGCUUGCAUUGAUUACGUCCCUGCCCUUUGUACACACCGCCCGUCGCACCUACCGAUUGAAUGGUCCGGUGAAAUCUCGGGACGGCGGCUUGGUCGCUUGCGUCCGACCGCUGAAACUUGAUUAAACCAUAUCAUUUAGAGGAAGGUGAANUCGUANCA
Molecule: ribosomal RNA, 320 nt
Filed under: uncultured eukaryote
Lineage: Eukaryota
Description: partial 18S ribosomal RNA
Rfam family: Eukaryotic small subunit ribosomal RNA
Source: RNAcentral